Molecule: ribosomal RNA, 119 nt
Filed under: Pteropus alecto (black flying fox)
Lineage: Eukaryota; Metazoa; Chordata; Mammalia; Chiroptera; Pteropodidae
Source: RNAcentral
GUCUACAGCCAUGCCACCCUGAACGUGCCUGAUCUCGUCUGAUCUCGGAAGCUAAGCGGGGUCGGGCCUGGUUAGUACUUGGAUGGGAGACCAUUUAGGAAGACCAGGUGCUGUAGGCG